AUACUCCAAAAAGACCUUUCCAACCCCAGGUGUAGGUUCACCAUCAGACCUUGGGCGUGGGAUGACUAAAUUCACUAAAUUGCCAAAUUUCCCACAUUCCAUUCUCAUAUCUUCCACUAUAUCUUCAUAGUCUUCAUCAUCUUUGAGCUCAUCCGGGCUAACCACAUGUGUUAGGCAUAAGACUUUAGUAGGAGGCCCUCCAGGUUGUAGCAUGAGUCUCUGCAGUGCUAUUUGUUGCUGAGCAUGCAUUAAUACAAUCUCCUGCUCUGGCUUAGGCUGUAAAGUACCUUGACUUGCACGCCUGACAGUAAGAGUUUUAUCACCCAUCUUGAUACCAUUAAGAGCUGUACAGGCAAUAUCAGUUACUGAUACAUCAGCAUAGACACAAAACGCAUAGCCUUUCGAGUUUCCAGUUUCUUUAUCUUUGACCAGAUUAAACCCCCGAAGAGGGCCAAAGGACUCCAGCAACUCCCUAAUCUGAGCUUCAGUGAAAUAGUAAGGCAGGCCUCCCACAAAGAUACGGUCAGGACCUUCAAGCCCACCUGUGGAUCCUGGUGACAAUCCAACUGCAGCAAGGUUAAGGUUUGGAUUUGGUUGGCUCGGACCAAGAGUUGCAGCCAGAGAGGGAUUAUAGUCAGUCGGUCUUCUGACCUUAACUUGUGUUCCCUCAAAGAUAAUGCCAUCUAAGGCCAUGGCAUUGCUGGCCUCCUCCACAGAUCUCAUCUCAACAAAAGCAAACUUUUUCUCAUGGUUUAUAUAAACAUUGACGACUGCAUCACCUGGACCGGCAGUGUUUCCACCAAUUGCUGACAUAACAUGAUUGAAGUAUGUAGCCACUGACUGUUCAUUUGCAGUCGGAGGAAGUCCACCAACGUAAACUCGCCUUGCAUGUCUAGUUGCCUGCUGAGUCAUUGCCUGAACAGGCAGAACAGGAAUAGCUCCAAGCGGUCCAGAGGCCAAAGGGAACAUGUUAGGAAGCAUUCCAGGAAUAGCUGGGGCAGUGCCAGGGAGUAGACCUGCAGAAGCUGUAAGAGCAGGAGCACCAGAUA
RNAcentral lists this unclassified non-coding RNA (1049 nucleotides) under Hevea brasiliensis (rubber tree). The record is from RNAcentral. Lineage: Eukaryota; Viridiplantae; Streptophyta; Magnoliopsida; Malpighiales; Euphorbiaceae.